Molecule: long non-coding RNA, 863 nt
Organism: Cryptomeria japonica (Japanese cedar)
Lineage: Eukaryota; Viridiplantae; Streptophyta; Pinopsida; Cupressales; Cupressaceae
Exons: 3
Source: RefSeq, a predicted model, not a curated record
GUAAAAAUGCAGGACUACAGUAAUAACGGAGAAAUUGAAGGCAAAAGUUGAAAAAUUUCCAAGUAGGUCAAAAUCUGUUCGCCUAUCGGUUGGAAAGUAGUUUAAAGUCGCUGGCCUUUAGUCUUUGCAGUUUACACUCAAUUGGCGGAGAAAAAAAUAUUGUGCAGAUAGUCUGUAGGCUAAAUACAGGCCAAAAUGUUUUCAGUUCAGGCCUAAAUCAGAUCCAGAAGCUCAUGAUCUUUGCUUGAGCGAGGGUUUGGCGAUUCUCGGUUAAGGAAUUUUGCUGCGACGGCGAAGUAGUCAUUUUUAUCUGAGGGUUUUGCUGUGUUGUUUUAACACUAUGUGUGCCGAAACGGUUAAAUUGAGCUACGUUCCUUUGAUAAACUGGUCCGAUUCGAGCCCAGACUUUGUAAGCCUUCUCCAUGCUGCGAACGAAGGACAGAAUGAUUAUUAUGCAUCUUACAGGUUCAGAGGAAGCCGUAAUUAUUUAGCCAGACAAGCUUUUCUUCGGAGCUAUAAGUUCUCCAUUGAAGAAAGCUUCAAAGACAAGCUCAGAAGAUCAGUCCGCAGGCUAAACGAAGAAUGCUUUGAAGAGCUUUUGAAGGAUUCGGUUAGGAAGUUGAUGAGAAAUACGAAAUCCUUUGUGAAACGCUGCCAUUAUGAGGUUCCUCUGGCAAAUAAAAGCAGACAGAAGAUGAAUUCAUGGCCUGGUUCCUGUUUCAGCCCUCCAGAAAAACCUUCUGCUUCACAAAAUGUUCUGAGCCUUUAUUAUUUCUGAAGAAAUUAUCCUCUGAGUAUUCCAGCAAAUUUGUAAUCGUUUUCAGGUGAAGAAAUUAAGGAUUCACAAGAUUGUUGGAGCUUCA